ACAACUUGCUUGUUACGAUGUUUAUUCAUAUUGUCAUUGUAAAUUGUUAUUUAUAGAAAUGUUUAAUUAUAUUGCGAACCCAAAUCUAAAAUUAAUGAAUAGAAUAUUUUUCAAAGCAUAUUAAACCAAAAAAGAGAUAAUUUCAUCAUAUUACUUUUUACUCCUUGUACUAUUGUUUUAGUAAGUAACGAUCCAACUGAAUGAAAAAGGAAAUGUGUAAAACCCUUAGAGAACACUGAAGAGGAACCGGAAAUGUUAUACCGGUUCGAAAUGCAUAUGUGAAUACUAAUAAAAGAAUUUAUUAACCUUUGCUGUGAGAUAGUCUACCAAAAGGAUUAAAGAGACAACCAUCACAAUCGAAUAAAUACAGC
Molecule: long non-coding RNA, 371 nt
Organism: Centruroides sculpturatus (bark scorpion)
Lineage: Eukaryota; Metazoa; Arthropoda; Arachnida; Scorpiones; Buthidae
Exons: 3
Source: RefSeq, a predicted model, not a curated record